RNAcentral lists this ribosomal RNA (253 nucleotides) under uncultured bacterium. RNAcentral's name for it is "partial 16S ribosomal RNA". It matches the Rfam family "Bacterial small subunit ribosomal RNA", at positions 524 to 776 of the family's 1533-position model. The record is from RNAcentral.
UACGGGGGGGGUAAGCGUUGUUCGGAAUUACUGGGCGUAAAGGGCUCGUAGGCGGCCAACUAAGUCGGACGUGAAAUCCCUCGGCUCAACCGAGGAACUGCAUCCGAUACUGGCGGGCUUGAAUCCGGGAGAGGGAUGUGGAAUUCCAGGUGUAGCGGUGAAGUGCGUAGAUAUCUGGAGGAACACCGGUGGCGAAGGCGGCAUCCUGGACCGGUAUUGACGCUGAGGCGCGAAAGCUAGGGGAGCAAACGGG